RNAcentral lists this ribosomal RNA (2927 nucleotides) under Escherichia coli. Its description in RNAcentral is "partial 23S ribosomal RNA". It matches the Rfam family "Bacterial large subunit ribosomal RNA". Lineage: Bacteria; Pseudomonadati; Pseudomonadota; Gammaproteobacteria; Enterobacterales; Enterobacteriaceae. The record is from RNAcentral.
GGGUUGUGAGGUUAAGCGACUAAGCGUACACGGUGGAUGCCCUGGCAGUCAGAGGCGAUGAAGGACGUGCUAAUCUGCGAUAAGCGUCGGUAAGGUGAUAUGAACCGUUAUAACCGGCGAUUUCCGAAUGGGGAAACCCAGUGUGAUUCGUCACACUAUCAUUAACUGAAUCCAUAGGUUAAUGAGGCGAACCGGGGGAACUGAAACAUCUAAGUACCCCGAGGAAAAGAAAUCAACCGAGAUUCCCCCAGUAGCGGCGAGCGAACGGGGAGCAGCCCAGAGCCUGAAUCAGUGUGUGUGUUAGUGGAAGCGUCUGGAAAGGCGCGCGAUACAGGGUGACAGCCCCGUACACAAAAAUGCACAUGCUGUGAGCUCGAUGAGUAGGGCGGGACACGUGGUAUCCUGUCUGAAUAUGGGGGGACCAUCCUCCAAGGCUAAAUACUCCUGACUGACCGAUAGUGAACCAGUACCGUGAGGGAAAGGCGAAAAGAACCCCGGCGAGGGGAGUGAAAAAGAACCUGAAACCGUGUACGUACAAGCAGUGGGAGCACAGAGCAAUCUGUGUGACUGCGUACCUUUUGUAUAAUGGGUCAGCGACUUAUAUUCUGUAGCAAGGUUAACCGAAUAGGGGAGCCGAAGGGAAACCGAGUCUUAACUGGGCGUUAAGUUGCAGGGUAUAGACCCGAAACCCGGUGAUCUAGCCAUGGGCAGGUUGAAGGUUGGGUAACACUAACUGGAGGACCGAACCGACUAAUGUUGAAAAAUUAGCGGAUGACUUGUGGCUGGGGGUGAAAGGCCAAUCAAACCGGGAGAUAGCUGGUUCUCCCCGAAAGCUAUUUAGGUAGCGCCUCGUGAAUUCAUCUCCGGGGGUAGAGCACUGUUUCGGCAAGGGGGUCAUCCCGACUUACCAACCCGAUGCAAACUGCGAAUACCGGAGAAUGUUAUCACGGGAGACACACGGCGGGUGCUAACGUCCGUCGUGAAGAGGGAAACAACCCAGACCGCCAGCUAAGGUCCCAAAGUCAUGGUUAAGUGGGAAACGAUGUGGGAAGGCCCAGACAGCCAGGAUGUUGGCUUAGAAGCAGCCAUCAUUUAAAGAAAGCGUAAUAGCUCACUGGUCGAGUCGGCCUGCGCGGAAGAUGUAACGGGGCUAAACCAUGCACCGAAGCUGCGGCAGCGACGCUUAUGCGUUGUUGGGUAGGGGAGCGUUCUGUAAGCCUGCGAAGGUGUGCUGUGAGGCAUGCUGGAGGUAUCAGAAGUGCGAAUGCUGACAUAAGUAACGAUAAAGCGGGUGAAAAGCCCGCUCGCCGGAAGACCAAGGGUUCCUGUCCAACGUUAAUCGGGGCAGGGUGAGUCGACCCCUAAGGCGAGGCCGAAAGGCGUAGUCGAUGGGAAACAGGUUAAUAUUCCUGUACUUGGUGUUACUGCGAAGGGGGGACGGAGAAGGCUAUGUUGGCCGGGCGACGGUUGUCCCGGUUUAAGCGUGUAGGCUGGUUUUCCAGGCAAAUCCGGAAAAUCAAGGCUGAGGCGUGAUGACGAGGCACUACGGUGCUGAAGCAACAAAUGCCCUGCUUCCAGGAAAAGCCUCUAAGCAUCAGGUAACAUCAAAUCGUACCCCAAACCGACACAGGUGGUCAGGUAGAGAAUACCAAGGCGCUUGAGAGAACUCGGGUGAAGGAACUAGGCAAAAUGGUGCCGUAACUUCGGGAGAAGGCACGCUGAUAUGUAGGUGAAGUCCCUCGCGGAUGGAGCUGAAAUCAGUCGAAGAUACCAGCUGGCUGCAACUGUUUAUUAAAAACACAGCACUGUGCAAACACGAAAGUGGACGUAUACGGUGUGACGCCUGCCCGGUGCCGGAAGGUUAAUUGAUGGGGUCAGCGCAAGCGAAGCUCUUGAUCGAAGCCCCGGUAAACGGCGGCCGUAACUAUAACGGUCCUAAGGUAGCGAAAUUCCUUGUCGGGUAAGUUCCGACCUGCACGAAUGGCGUAAUGAUGGCCAGGCUGUCUCCACCCGAGACUCAGUGAAAUUGAACUCGCUGUGAAGAUGCAGUGUACCCGCGGCAAGACGGAAAGACCCCGUGAACCUUUACUAUAGCUUGACACUGAACAUUGAGCCUUGAUGUGUAGGAUAGGUGGGAGGCUUUGAAGUGUGGACGCCAGUCUGCAUGGAGCCGACCUUGAAAUACCACCCUUUAAUGUUUGAUGUUCUAACGUGGACCCGUAAUCCGGGUUGCGGACAGUGUCUGGUGGGUAGUUUGACUGGGGCGGUCUCCUCCUAAAGAGUAACGGAGGAGCACGAAGGUUGGCUAAUCCUGGUCGGACAUCAGGAGGUUAGUGCAAUGGCAUAAGCCAGCUUGACUGCGAGCGUGACGGCGCGAGCAGGUGCGAAAGCAGGUCAUAGUGAUCCGGUGGUUCUGAAUGGAAGGGCCAUCGCUCAACGGAUAAAAGGUACUCCGGGGAUAACAGGCUGAUACCGCCCAAGAGUUCAUAUCGACGGCGGUGUUUGGCACCUCGAUGUCGGCUCAUCACAUCCUGGGGCUGAAGUAGGUCCCAAGGGUAUGGCUGUUCGCCAUUUAAAGUGGUACGCGAGCUGGGUUUAGAACGUCGUGAGACAGUUCGGUCCCUAUCUGCCGUGGGCGCUGGAGAACUGAGGGGGGCUGCUCCUAGUACGAGAGGACCGGAGUGGACGCAUCACUGGUGUUCGGGUUGUCAUGCCAAUGGCACUGCCCGGUAGCUAAAUGCGGAAGAGAUAAGUGCUGAAAGCAUCUAAGCACGAAACUUGCCCCGAGAUGAGUUCUCCCUGACUCCUUGAGAGUCCUGAAGGAACGUUGAAGACGACGACGUUGAUAGGCCGGGUGUGUAAGCGCAGCGAUGCGUUGAGCUAACCGGUACUAAUGAACCGUGAGGCUUAACCUUACAACGCCGAAG